UGGGGAAUUUUCCGCAAUGGGCGAAAGCCUGACGGAGCAACGCCGCGUGGAUGAUGAAGUCUUUCGGGACGUAAAAUCCUUUCAGCAGGGACGAAGCGAGUGACGGUACCUGCAGAAGAAGCAUCGGCUAACUACGUGCCAGCAGCCGCGGUAAUACGUAGGAUGCGAGCGUUGUCCGGAAUUAUUGGGCGUAAAGAGAACGUAGGCGGUUUCUUAAGUUUGGGCUUAAAGACUGGGGCUCAACCCCAGGAGUGGCUCGAAAACUGACAGACUAGAGGAUGGCAGAGGAAAGUGGAAUUCCCAGUGUAGCGGUGAAAUGCGUAGAUAUUGGGAGGAACACCAGUGGCGAAAGCGACUUUCUGGGCCAUUCCUGACGCUGAGGUUCGAAAGCUCGGGGAGCAAACAG
This 406-nucleotide ribosomal RNA is filed under the name uncultured bacterium. RNAcentral's name for it is "bacterial SSU rRNA". It matches the Rfam family "Bacterial small subunit ribosomal RNA", at positions 355 to 775 of the family's 1533-position model. The record is from RNAcentral.